This 407-nucleotide ribosomal RNA is filed under the name uncultured bacterium. Its description in RNAcentral is "bacterial SSU rRNA". It matches the Rfam family "Bacterial small subunit ribosomal RNA", at positions 355 to 776 of the family's 1533-position model. The record is from RNAcentral.
UAGGGAAUAUUGCACAAUGGAGGAAACUCUGAUGCAGCGACGCCGCGUGAGUGAUGAAGGACUUCGGUUCGUAAAGCUCUGUCGUAUGGGAAUAAGAAAGUGAAUGUACCAUGCAAGAAAGGAUCGGCUAACUUCGUGCCAGCAGCCGCGGUAAGACGAGGGAUCCUAGCGUUGUUCGGAAUCAUUGGGCGUAAAGCGGAUGUAGGUGGCUUUGUAAGUCGGGUGUGAAAGCCCAGGGCUCAACCCUGGAAGUGCAUUCGAUACUGCGAAGCUUGAGUGCUGGAGAGGUUACUAGAAUACCUGGUGUAGUGGUGAAAUACGUAGAUAUCAGGUGGAAUACCGGAGGCGAAGGCGGGUAACCAGCCAGACACUGACACUCAGAUCCGAAAGUGUGGGGAUCAAACAGG